Molecule: ribosomal RNA, 389 nt
Filed under: uncultured bacterium
Lineage: Bacteria
Description: bacterial SSU rRNA
Rfam family: Bacterial small subunit ribosomal RNA
Source: RNAcentral
AGACGGGUGAGUAACGCGUGAGAAACCUGCCUUCCAGUGGGGGACAACAGUUAGAAAUGACUGCUAAUACCGCAUAACAUAUCGAGAUCGCAUGAUAUUGAUAUCAAAGAUUUAUCGCUGAAAGAUGAGCUCGCGUCUGAUUAGAUAGUUGGUGAGGUAACGGCUCACCAAGUCGACGAUCAGUAGCCGGACUGAGAGGUUGGACGGCCACAUUGGGACUGAGACACGGCCCAGACUCCUACGGGAGGCAGCAGUGGGGAAUAUUGCACAAUGGGCGCAAGCCUGAUGCAGCGAUGCCGCGUGAGGGAAGAAGGUUUUAGGAUUGUAAACCUCUGUCUUCAGGGACGAUAAUGACGGUACCUGAGGAGGAAGCUCCGGCUAACUACGUG